GUUAAGCGACUAAGCGUACACGGUGGAUGCCCUGGCAGUCAGAGGCGAUGAAGGACGUGCUAAUCUGCGAUAAGCGUCGGUAAGGUGAUAUGAACCGUUAUAACCGGCGAUUUCCGAAUGGGGAAACCCAGUGUGUUUCGACACACUAUCAUUAACUGAAUCCAUAGGUUAAUGAGGCGAACCGGGGGAACUGAAACAUCUAAGUACCCCGAGGAAA
This 217-nucleotide ribosomal RNA is filed under the name Escherichia coli. Its description in RNAcentral is "partial 23S ribosomal RNA". It matches the Rfam family "Bacterial large subunit ribosomal RNA", at positions 1 to 219 of the family's 2925-position model. The record is from RNAcentral. Lineage: Bacteria; Pseudomonadati; Pseudomonadota; Gammaproteobacteria; Enterobacterales; Enterobacteriaceae.